UACAGAGGGUGCAAGCGUUAAUCGGAAUUACUGGGCGUAAAGCGCACGUAGGUGGCGACGUAAGUCGGGUGUGAAAGCCCCGGGCUCAACCUGGGAAUUGCAUUCGAGACUGCAUUGCUGGAGUACGGAAGAGGAGGGCGGAAUUCCCGGUGUAGCGGUGAAAUGCGUAGAUAUCGGGAGGAACAUCAGUGGCGAAGGCGGCUAUCUGGACGGUUUCUGACACUAAGACUCGAAAGCGUGGGGAGCAAACAGG
This 253-nucleotide ribosomal RNA is filed under the name uncultured bacterium. RNAcentral describes it as "partial 16S ribosomal RNA". It matches the Rfam family "Bacterial small subunit ribosomal RNA", at positions 524 to 776 of the family's 1533-position model. The record is from RNAcentral.